RNAcentral lists this ribosomal RNA (292 nucleotides) under uncultured bacterium. Its description in RNAcentral is "partial 16S ribosomal RNA". It matches the Rfam family "Bacterial small subunit ribosomal RNA", at positions 335 to 645 of the family's 1533-position model. The record is from RNAcentral.
GGCCUACGGGGGGCAGCAGUGGGGAAUAUUGCACAAUGGGGGAAACCCUGAUGCAGCAACGCCGCGUGAGUGAAGAAGUAUUUCGGUAUGUAAAGCUCUAUCAGCAGGGAAGAGAAUGACGGUACCUGACUAAGAAGCCCCGGCUAACUACGUGCCAGCAGCCGCGGUAAUACGUAGGGGGCGAGCGUUAUCCGGAUUUACUGGGUGUAAAGGGAGCGUAGACGGCGAGGUAAGCCUGAAGUGGAAGCCCGCGGCCCAACCGCGGAACUGCUUUGGGAACUGUUUUGCUGGA